GAUGAACGCUAGCUACAGGCUUAACACAUGCAAGUCGAGGGACCGGCGCACGGGUGAGUAACACGUAUCCAACCUGCCCUUUACUCGGGGAUAGCCUUUCGAAAGAAAGAUUAAUACCCGAUAUAAAGGAUGGGGAUGCGUUCUAUUAGGUUGUUGGUGAGGUAACGGCUCACCAAGCCUUCGAUGGAUAGGUGUUAUGAUAGGCAGGGCCCCCACAAUUGAACUGAGGCACGGUCCAAACUCCGACGUGAGGCAGCAGUAAGGAAUAUUGGUGAAUGGGCGCUAGCCUGAACCAGCCAAGUAGCGUGAAGGAUGAAGGCUUAUGGGUCGUAAACUUCUGUUAUAUAAGAAAAUGUAUUAUAUGAAUAAGGAUCGGCUAACUCCGUGCCAGCCGCCGCGGUAAUUC
RNAcentral lists this ribosomal RNA (406 nucleotides) under uncultured bacterium. RNAcentral's name for it is "partial 16S ribosomal RNA". It matches the Rfam family "Bacterial small subunit ribosomal RNA", at positions 28 to 526 of the family's 1533-position model. The record is from RNAcentral.